This 495-nucleotide ribosomal RNA is filed under the name uncultured bacterium. RNAcentral describes it as "partial 16S ribosomal RNA". It matches the Rfam family "Bacterial small subunit ribosomal RNA", at positions 28 to 507 of the family's 1533-position model. The record is from RNAcentral.
GAUGAACGCUGGCGGCGUGCCUAAUACAUGCAAGUAGAACGCUGAAGGAGGAGCUUGCUCUUCUGGAUGAGUUGCGAACGGGUGAGUAACGCGUAGGUAACCUGCCUGGUAGCGGGGGAUAACUAUUGGAAACGAUAGCUAAUACCGCAUGACAACAGUUAUUGCAUGAUAACUGUUUAAAAGGGGCAACUGCUCCACUACCAGAUGGACCUGCGUUGUAUUAGCUAGUUGGUGAGGUAACGGCUCACCAAGGCGACGAUACAUAGCCGACCUGAGAGGGUGAUCGGCCACACUGGGACUGAGACACGGCCCAGACGCCUACGGGAGGCAGCAGUAGGGAAUCGUCGGCAAUGGACGGAAGUCUGACCGAGCAACGCCGCGUGAGUGAAGAAGGUUUUCGGAUCGUAAAGCUCUGUUGUAAGAGAAGAACGAGUGUGAGAGUGGAAAGUUCACACUGUGACGGUAACUGACCAGAAAGGGACGGCUAACUACGUG